Molecule: ribosomal RNA, 557 nt
Filed under: uncultured bacterium
Lineage: Bacteria
Description: bacterial SSU rRNA
Rfam family: Bacterial small subunit ribosomal RNA
Source: RNAcentral
AAUGCCGCGUGAGUGAAGAAGGCCUUCGGGUUGUAAACUGCUUUUGUCAGGGAAGAAAUCUUCUGGGUUAAUACCUCNGGGAGGAUGACGGUACCUGAAGAAUAAGCACCGGCUAACUACGUGCCAGCAGCCGCGGUAAUACGUAGGGUGCGAGCGUUAAUCGGAAUUACUGGGCGUAAAGCGUGCGCAGGCGGCUUUGCAAGACAGAGGUGAAAUCCCCGGGCUCAACCUGGGAACUGCCUUUGUGACUGCAAGGCUAGAGUACGGCAGAGGGGGAUGGAAUUCCGCGUGUAGCAGUGAAAUGCGUAGAUAUGCGGAGGAACACCAAUGGCGAAGGCAAUCCCCUGGGCCUGUACUGACGCUCAUGCACGAAAGCGUGGGGAGCAAACAGGAUUAGAUACCCUGGUAGUCCACGCCCUAAACGAUGUCAACUGGUUGUUGGACGGCUUGCUGUUCAGUAACGAAGCUAACGCGUGAAGUUGACCGCCUGGGGAGUACGGGCGCAAGGUUUGAAACUCAAAGGAAUUGACGGGGAACCGCACAAGCGGUGGAUGAUG